RNAcentral lists this ribosomal RNA (387 nucleotides) under uncultured bacterium. RNAcentral describes it as "bacterial SSU rRNA". It matches the Rfam family "Bacterial small subunit ribosomal RNA", at positions 28 to 417 of the family's 1533-position model. The record is from RNAcentral.
GACGAACGCUGGCGGCGUGCUUAACACAUGCAAGUCGAGCGGUAAGGCCCUUUCGGGGGUACACGAGCGGCGAACGGGUGAGUAACACGUGGGUGACCUGCCCUCAGCUCUGGGAUAAGCCUGGGAAACCGGGUCUAAUACCGGAUAUGACUCCAUGACGCAUGUUGUGGGGUGGAAAGCCUUGUGCGGCUGAGGAUGGGCCCGCGGCCUAUCAGCUUGUUGGUGGGGUAAUGGCCACCAAGGCGACGACGGGUAGCCGGCCUGAGAGGGCGACCGGCCACACUGGGACUGAGACACGGCCCAGACUCCUACGGGAGGCAGCAGUGGGGAAUCUUGCGCAAUGGGCGAAAGCCUGACGCAGCGACGCCGCAUGAGGGAUGACGGCCU